CUAUAUGCAGUGGACCAGGAUGGCAAGGGCUCUCGUGAAAGGACAGUAGAGCCCUUGCCAUCCUGGUCCACUGCAUAUAG
Molecule: microRNA precursor, 80 nt
Organism: Cercocebus atys (sooty mangabey)
Lineage: Eukaryota; Metazoa; Chordata; Mammalia; Primates; Cercopithecidae
Source: Ensembl